UGGCGCAGUUGGGAGCGCGCAUGACUGGCAGUCAUGAGGUCGUCGGUUCGAUCCCGAC
This 58-nucleotide transfer RNA is filed under the name Acidobacteriota bacterium. RNAcentral describes it as "Acidobacteria bacterium tRNA-Ala". It matches the Rfam family "tRNA", at positions 8 to 63 of the family's 71-position model. Rfam says of the family: Transfer RNA (tRNA) molecules are approximately 80 nucleotides in length. Their secondary structure includes four short double-helical elements and three loops (D, anti-codon, and T loops). Further hydrogen bonds mediate the characteristic L-shaped molecular structure. tRNAs have two regions of fundamental functional importance: the anti-codon, which is responsible for specific mRNA codon recognition, and the 3' end, to which the tRNAs corresponding amino acid is attached (by aminoacyl-tRNA synthetases). tRNAs cope with the degeneracy of the genetic code in two manners: having more than one tRNA (with a specific anti-codon) for a particular amino acid; and 'wobble' base-pairing, i.e. permitting non-standard base-pairing at the 3rd anti-codon position. The record is from RNAcentral. Lineage: Bacteria; Pseudomonadati; Acidobacteriota.